Long non-coding RNA from Amaranthus tricolor (Joseph's coat), 309 nucleotides. RefSeq lists it as uncharacterized. Lineage: Eukaryota; Viridiplantae; Streptophyta; Magnoliopsida; Caryophyllales; Amaranthaceae. The record is from RefSeq and is a predicted model, not a curated record. The transcript has 3 exons.
GGCGUCUCCUUCAAGGCCGCUUCCACCUUCUCUUCUUGAUUCAGUCUAUAGAAUUAAAAAAAAUGUUCCACGUUCAUGAUCCAACCAUAGGGAUUAUUCCCAUCGAACAUAGGUUAAGAAGAAAUUAAGAAAAUAAAUUUGAAGAACAAAAAUAGAAAAAGGCAAUAGAACAGUUGUAUCGGUAACCCCCCAAGCUUCAAGGUUGCAAACACACUUGGUCCCUCCUUAAUAGUUGGUGUGAAACAUACGUGCGUAUUUUCUUCUUUGGUUUUCAUUGGCAUUAUGUUGUGGAAGUAAAUAUAAUAUGGA